RNAcentral lists this long non-coding RNA (1151 nucleotides) under Panax ginseng (ginseng). RNAcentral's name for it is "long non-coding RNA (PGIN_LNC003145)". Lineage: Eukaryota; Viridiplantae; Streptophyta; Magnoliopsida; Apiales; Araliaceae. The record is from RNAcentral.
CCGUUUCCUUUUUUCCUUUUCUCCUUUUCUCCAGUCUGCUCUCGAAUACAUUUUUGCAGACGGAAGCUCACAAGUCAGCCGAGAAGAAGAAAUCCGUUUGCGGUAAAAUCUACUAUCAAUACACUGUGAGUGAUUCUCCGUCACAUAUUUUACUCUUCCUCAUUCUGCGUCUCUUUACACUCAGUUCUUCAUUUUGAAGCUUAAUAUCAUUACAAGCCCAUCACUAUUUCUGCCAUAUUAGUCUUCUUUGUAUGCUUUUAUGGGUUCAAAGCAGAAUUUAUAAUACUUAGCUUAAUGGUCGUCAAAUGAUGCAAAAUGGGUUUUUACAUUUUCUAAUUGGUGCUAUCAGGGCUUUGUGGGUUUAUGAAUAUAUAGUACAUUUUUUGAUUUGGUGGGUAUAUAUUGGCAACACGGGCUAAAAUUUUGAGGAGAUUUAAGAACUUUAAAAUCUGACUAGAUUAUUGAAUCUUUUGGUAAGAUUUCUGCCUCCCUUCUGUGCAUUUGGGAGUACUAAUUUUGCAGGUUUCUUCUGGCUAUAUUUGUCCUUGUGCUGCAUGUAUCGCUUCAAGCUUUAUCAAACUUUUCUGAGAAUAAUUUGGGCAGGGGCUUCACAUGUUUUCUUAGCCUUAAAUUGUUUCUGCUGCUUUCCUUCUAUGUCCUUCUCUUUUGUAAUAUUAUGUUCUCAAGGUUUCUUGUUGUUGCAUUUUGUAUUUCUAGUUUGUGCAGCAUGUAUCCCUCAAAUCAUAGAUUAUAGUUUGAAUCCCCAGUUCCCCACCAAAAUACAUGACUAUUUAUGGCUAAUUGAAUCAAUGAUAUACUAAUACUGCUAUUUCACUUUGGCAAGAGAUAUAUUGUGUUGUGAAUAUCUCAGCUACAAAAGGAUCUAAGCAGCACAAAGGGCAAAACCAAACUGCAGAAUUGUGUAGUGACUGUGAUACUACUCAAUUAUCACAGUAGGAGAGAGCAAUGUUCUGCUGCUAAUUAGGAUAAUGGUCCUUGCUGUAAAUAUGCUGCAAAAUAGUUAAUUAGCUUAGAUGUUAAGCUGAACUAAGUUUCUAUAUAAAUGUACUUGAGGUUUAGUUUGUGAGCAACAGAGAAUAAAUAAAAUAAUGUUUUCAGCUUCUUACGUUUCAUAUAUGGCUGCAACGAAG